GUCACACAAACCAAACCAGUCUCACCCUUUCCCUCUCACACUUCAGCGCAUCUCUCACCCACCCUUUUCUCCCACUCCGUCAAACAUUCGUCACUUCGCCGAUCACCCUCUCUCACUCACCCUCUUCUCCCACUCCGUCAAACAUUCAUCACUUCACCGAUGACCCACUUCGCCAAUCACCCUCUCUCACUCACUCUCUUCUCCCACUCCGUCAAACUUUCAUCACUUCGCCGAUCACCCUCUUCUCUCACUCAGUCCAUUUGACAUUCAUCAUCUAGCACGAAAGAUUUGAAAAAGCAUAGCGAGGUGUACAGAGGUUUGAUAAAGUCUCCACUGUCACUCACAGAGCUUUGAGUUCCUCAAUCUACGCCAUUUCUCAAAACUAAAAUAAAAGGAAUUCUUUGUUGGCUGUGUCAAGUAAUACUAAUGUCAAUUUGAAGGCGGAGUAGGAUGCUGAAGGAGGGGGGAAGUUAUGUAGUACCAGAAAUGCUGAAGUAUGAUACAAAUCAUGUUAUUUUGCCAGUAUAUCUGUCCAAGUGAGCUUGUUGCUGAAACCAUUCCUUUUUAAGCAUUCUUUGUAGCUUGUGGGUUAUCAUUUCUCUUCACACGCACAUAAAAAGACUACAAGCUGGGUUUUGUUUGUUUGUUUGUUUUUUUUUUUUUUUGUUCCCCCAAGUUGAUAAGUUACCCAUGCACCCCAUGGGUUUUGAAACUACAACCUCACCCUUCACCCAUUAUUGCAAGAGGAGGAAAUGCCAUUUGAGCCAAAGCUCAUUGGCCACAAGACUAUAAGCAGUUAUUUUGGUAAUACAAUGAAACUGAUGAUUGGAGUUCUGCGAAAUAUCAUCAUGUAGUAGCAUUCGAUACCCGGCCCUUUAAAUGGGAAUCCGUCAAUCUCUCCAAGAUUGUCAAGGGGUCCACCGUAGUAUACAUUUAAAUCAAUAUUCUUUAGAGAUUGUGAAC
Long non-coding RNA from Quercus lobata, 963 nucleotides. RefSeq lists it as uncharacterized. The record is from RefSeq and is a predicted model, not a curated record. Lineage: Eukaryota; Viridiplantae; Streptophyta; Magnoliopsida; Fagales; Fagaceae. The transcript is spliced from 2 exons.